UUGUCGUGCCAGUGGAAAGUGGGACAACUCCAUGGCAGUUGGGCCACAAAACAACAACAGCUACGGCCCAUGGAGUAGCAAGUCCACAGGGUAGCCAGCUCAAGACCCACAGGCCCAUGAUACAGCGCAAGCCCAAGUCGCACUGAAAAGAGGAAAAGCCCAUCGCCCGCCCCUUGCGGCCCAGCCUGCACCCGCGAUCUAGCCCAUGCCUGCAAUCCGAACUGCACCCGAUGUCUAAGCCAUUUUCGUGGCUCACUUAGCUGUCCAAACCUGUUCAACCGUCCCGACUUCAGAUUUUCGAACCAACAAUUGAACCGAGGGUAUUUUCACCCUCUUUUCUGGAGAUUUGACAUAUCCCAACUCAAAUCUUGCGCCUGGAGUCCAUUGCACUUUCAUUACUCCAAGAGAAGCAUACCGUCCAAGCUCUUCCAUCCCAAAUGGUGAACAACACUUGUCUCGACAAUUCAUAGAGUUAACAAGUGCCCUUGUGCAACAAACGACCUUGGUGAAUCAGCUUUUGCAACGCAUCAAGAUGCAGCUACCCUAGACGACGUAUCCCGAAGUAGGACAAAGGCAGACGAUGAACCUUUCUAGUAGCGUCCCUGUAAACAACCAUUCGACCAGCCACGAACUAAGCGUUCUGACAGUGUACACUCCCAUAUAGACCUCCGAGAUAACGUAUACUCUCGUCUUAGCGUGCGGAGGAGCGUGCACUCCCGGUUAGGCCCACGAACAAGCAUAUAUUCAAAGUUGGGGCCACACUUUGAUAAUCAACAUGGACAACCUUCGAGGCGAAGUGUUCAAUCGCGGCUAGGCCCGCUAGGAGCAUCAUCCACCUCACAUUGGAAUAGGUAGCACGACGGAUGGAGAUAAUGAGUCACUUAAUCCGGCUCAAGUUCAACCGACAGUUUGCGAGUGACCCACUCGCCUGCCAGGAAUGUACCACAUGCACUGCAACUGCGGCAUAGACUAGCCAAGAACAGGGAAGAGCAACCUAGACCAACAAGUCACGACCGAGGGCAACCGGAAGCUCUGCUACCCUAGAGAGGUGAAUUCAGGAAGAAGUUGAGAGGCUCCUGACAGCACGAUUGCGUGGUUUCCAACGCAACAAAGCUACUUACAAAGCACUCGGACGAGACAUGACCAACAUAAACAUGUCACCUUUCAUUGAUAAGAUCAAGUAGAUGGAACCAUCCCACAUACACUGGAAGAUACAAUGAUUACCUUUGAUCCGACAAACAUAGCAACUCAGCUAAUCACACGUUGAUAGGAUUAAAAGCACACCACAAAGUAGCACACAAAUGUCCUAUUGGUUUUCCUUAUCAACACUAAGAUUUGUCAAUUGUAGCAUAUGAAAAUAAGGGUCUUUCCCGCAGAAGAUUGUUUUAUCUAACUACUUAAAAUGUCACAAAAACUAGUUGUUGUCCCUACUGACCAGCCAACGAAAAAUAAUUAUUAGGUUGACUUUCACUUAUCUAAAUUCUACGAAAUUUUAUAUGAAGACACUAGACACAGAGCUACACUUCUACCAAUUUUUGGGAUUUUUGGAGUUGAUUUUCGAUUUAAAUUAAAUUGAACAAAAACAGGACAUAAACAAAUUUUAAGUAGUUCACAAAUUAAUAAAAACGAGUUAGGGGAAUUGCUAUCCACCACCAAAUAAUCAUGCAAACAUGUUAUGUUUCAUUCAAAUUCCCUUUAUUUCCGGAUGAAGAUGCUCAAGUUGACUCAAUGUUAGAACUUAACCUAUUACUCUUUCUUAUGUAGUAUGUUAAGAGAAUGGCGUUUUCAACUUAACUUAGUCCCUAGCAUGCAAUCUAGAAUGGCGUGUUCAUAGAUUUAACAAGUAGAAAUCAUUAAGAACGAAAAGAGUUUCAGUCAUCACAAGGCAUCGUAAGUAUUGGCAUUGUCUUACUUAUCCUAGAAAUUGGUUCACAUGUUAAUCGCAAUUAACAAAUACUACUCUAGAACAUAUGUAGGUCCUCAUUCGACAAGGACAGACACACACAUAUUCAUAGCGUUAGAAUCCUAUAUAUGCUUACUAAGUAUGCAUCCGUAGAAAACACGUAAAGAAUUCAUCAAUGAGACAAGUAGUGAAUCAAUUUUCAUUCAUUCAUAAAAGUAAUUCAAACAAAAUGUCAUAACAAACUUGCAAUCCUAUUCGGCACUUCAAAACAGCCCCUAACUACUAAAAAUUUAGUUACACAUUAUUAUCAAAUAAAACCGAAAGAAAGACAUGAGUUUGAGAAGACAAAACCGAGAGAAGAGAAUGCCAAGAUUUCCUCCUUCCUUUCCUUCCUUUCCGCAAAGCUGCCUUGUCCUCUUUCUUUUCUAUUUUUUUUUCCUUUCUCUUCUUUUUCCAACCUUGCAACCUGCACCCUUUCCCCUUUUUAACUUGCUGCCCCAUUUUCUUCUCCUUAACUCACCCACUAACAGCCAUUUAGUGAUGGCAAUAAGUGAGAUAAAAUGGUAUAACAAUUGUAACUCUUUGGGUAGCCUUUAUGCCAAUUACUCCCACUUAAUCCUCAUCUUUAUUUUCAUUUCCUCUGAUAUUUGAAUAGGUAUCAGCUGGCUUGUUCUUGGCUGCAUUAGUUUUGGCCGCUAGAUUUAUUGGGUUUAUUGCUUUCAUUGCAGUUACAAACUGCCCAGUCUCUUGUGAACCUUUCAGUGUUAAAACGGCCAUAACUUCUUCUAAAAAACUGAUAUUAACAAUCCGCGAAAUGCUCCAGAAAAUAGACAUCCGUAGCUUUCCAAGCAUAUAAGGCUCAUUCUCUAAUUCAUUUUGAGAUGUUCACAACUUGCUUCCAAAUUCAGCUGACCUGCACAGGCAGUUUUGACGAAUUUGUUACUUAAAAUCCAACUUGUGCUAUUUUUCUUUUCUUUGCUUGACAAAUCCUAGAAAACAUAAAAACAAAGUAAAUAGCUCAAAAAUAUGAGGAACUAACUAAGAAAAAACAAGUGAAUUUGAUGUAAAGUAUAUAUAAAUAUAAGCUUAUCACACGUUAGGGGCAGACAGGAACCAGAAGAACAUAUCAGCCCAACCACUAAGAACCAGGGGCAUGUCUUGUUUUCAUCACAACUCCGCGCUCAAAGUCCUGCCUACCUAUCCACUAUUCCAAACCACCCUUGAUCUGUCACCAUGGCUCCUAGUCGUGCCGAUCUUGCACCACAACUCCUAGUCGUGCCACCUUACAGUUCCUAUCUACGCCGACCAAGCCCACAACACUUCAAACUUCAAAGCAUCCAACGACGGAGCAAACUAUGAGGCCUUACUAGUAGCCUCUGCUAGCGAAAGACUUAGUGGUGGAGAAGCUUGCAAUCCAUUCAGAUUCUCAGCUGACCACCAACCAAGCCUCAGAAGAACACACGAUGAAACAUCUAAGGAUGGUGCAAUACUUAGAAAAGGUCCAGGAACAACUUACUAUGCUUCCCACUUACACCCUUACGCGGUUCCACAAGCAGUUUGAAGUCUCAAGCAGAUCGUCAAACAAGACCUCACAAGCUGAGGAUUAUUUCAAUUGUCCAGUUUUCCUCAGUUGCACUCACGACAACGACUUCUAUUCUGUCCAAUGCGAUAGGGUAAUCCAAUUCCCCGACACCCAUAUGGGUCAACUAUUCAGUGAGAGAGGGUAAACCAACUCCUCGACAUCCAUAUGGGUUUGCUCUCUAGUGCGAGAAGGUAAACUAAUUGCUUUUCAGUGCAAUAGGGUAAAAAAAUUUCCCGACACUCAUAUGGGUCUACUCUCCAAUGCGAAAAGGUAAACUAAUUCCAUGACACCCAUAUGGGUCUACUCUUCAGUGCGGAUAAACUAAUUCCCCAACACCUAUCUGGGUAAGCUCUCAAACUCGAGAAGAUAAACCAAUUCCCCGACACCCAUCUACGUAAGCUCUCCAGUGUGAGAGGGAAAAGCAAUUCCCCACACCCAUCUGGGCCAUACAGCUCAAAGGAUAUAAUACUCGAAUACCAGCUAAGUAGCAAAUGGUCAGAGGGCAACAAUCGAUGACGAACUCAACAACUCGACACCCCAAAAAGCCAAAACUCACAACCAUAAUGACUUCGUUGGAUCGUCAGCCUUUUUUUGAAGCAGCAUGCAUAACCGACAUAUUUAUGGCUAAAAGUUUUGUAAGACGCUUCAAGCAAGCAAAGUUUCAAGAAAAAGAAAGAUGGAGUAAAGCGCAAGCAGUUUAUUAAAUUUCUAGCAAAUUGAUAAACUUAUACGAAGGUUGUCGAAAUCCAACACAAGCUAAACAUAGCAGACUACUCAUUUAGCAGUUUGGAUGACCUUGGGCUCUCCAGCUGCCAUCUUGCCUUCAGCAACCACUUCGCACUCAGCAGUUUGCUCACCUAACAUUUAAUCUUCAACAGCUCCGAUCUUGGCAGCACUAUUUUCGAUUACUCCAUCUACGGCAGCUACGAAAUCAGACUCAAGCAGUUUCUUCCUUCUUGACAAGUAGCAUAACCGUGGCCUCUGCCAUGCCAUUUUCUCAGCCCAUGUUGAGCCAACCCUUGGCUCCAGCCAAAUCAAACAGCCCAAGUCGUGGCCAUUGCCAAACCACCUCCUCGGCCCAUGCCAAGCCAAUUUCUAGCCUCUGCUAACUGACGUGCCGCACCACCCUGAUAGCUGCCCCGCACAACACCACCCAAGAAAAAGACAAAGAAAAUUAGGUUUUUCUUACAUUGGUGCAGUGUGGAGAACACAAAGAAUCAACGGAAAAUUUUUUUUGUACGAGCAAGCAAAGAAGAAUGUUAGGGGAGGGGGAACAAAUAUCCUCUAGCUUUCUCUCUUUCUUGUAGGGAUAAAUAGUUUCCCUCCAAAGUUGAUUUAACCCCUACUUAAGGUAGGCUUAAAUAGGCUUUGGAGGCAAUUUAUAUCCCUUUCCUAGAAGAAUCUAAUUCCAAGUCCAAGUGGGAAUCUGCAUCAAAGUUGGAGAUCUCUACACCUACUGCCUAUUCUUGCGAGCAGCCCAGCAAGUGUGGGGGCAUUUAUGGAGCCAAAAAUAAUUAAGAAAAUUAUGGAGGUGACACAUGGACUUUUGGGUUAAAAGCAAAACUACCCUCAAGGCACACCGGGAUUCCCAAGCGCAUACAACGGACAAUAACAGCUCAAUCAAAGAAAAGUCAAAGGUGAUCAAAAUGGUAUUUAUUCAAAUCCCUCUUAUCACUCCUCAUCAAAUCUUUAUUCAAAAGGUAACUCCCAAAACUUCUUAUUUAAUUUGGGAUUAAUUACCAUGUUAAUUGCAAGAUAUUAUUUCACAUAAUAUCUUGCAAUUAUUCUCUAAAUACACCAUAUAUGGCCGGCUACUCCCCUAUAAAUAUCCCUAUUAUGCCACCAAAAACCUAAGUCAUCUAUUACCCACAAACUCCUAAACACAUUCUUUUCAGAAUUCUAACUUUGGCAUCGAAGAUUCUUCAGUCAAAGUUCCCCCCCCCCAAAUUCAUCAUGGGCGCGUGAGGCUUUUGGCCUUAAUCGAAGGUGUUAUUAUUUUGCAGGUGCAUUUUUGUCAAAGGAAGAGAUGGUGGAUAUUUGCAUCCACAACAAACAUCUGUGUGAACCAAUUCUAGAGGUUUAGUUGCCUUCCAAGCUUGAUUCCUUAGAAAACUCUCUCAGUGACAUUUCCCCAAGGUACGACCUUCACACACUUCAUCAUUUUCCUGCAGUUUUGGUAAUUCCAACACCAAAUCUUCCUCCUGCAUCAGUUUUGGUAAUUCCUUCACACACUUCACACACUUCAUCAUUGUCCUACACUAAGUAGGUUCUCAUCAAACCCAGACACAAGCAUCAGAUUUUUUAUUUAUCUCUUCCCUUGUUUUAUGUUAAUAACCAAAGUUCCUUUUCCUACAACUUGGACCAAUUCACCAAUGCCCAUUUUGACUUUUGUAAAUACACCCUUUACUUUAUCCACAAGCCAAUCUUCAUGAGCAUUCAUGUGGUUGCUACAACCAUUGUUCACAUACCACACAUUUGACAUUUUAGACGCAACAGCUAAAUGGUAAGCAAAGAAUAAGGUUCCUUCUUCUUCUGGUAGCUUGGCAAAGUUCACUAUUUUAGUUCUUGAAGGAUUUAUUUUGUAAAACAUGUUCAUUUGAGCAACAUCAUAUAGCAUGCAAUUAACAAUUAAAGGCGG
Molecule: long non-coding RNA, 6123 nt
Filed under: Malus domestica (apple)
Lineage: Eukaryota; Viridiplantae; Streptophyta; Magnoliopsida; Rosales; Rosaceae
Description: long non-coding RNA (MDOM_LNC009208)
Source: RNAcentral